This is an RNA transcript of Cercocebus atys (sooty mangabey), 1057 nucleotides long. It is a transcript of the gene named annexin A2 pseudogene, with no coding region annotated. NCBI's taxonomy places the organism in Eukaryota, Metazoa, Chordata, Mammalia, Primates, Cercopithecidae. The transcript has a single exon. The record is from RefSeq and is a predicted model, not a curated record.
CAUCUGGGGACGCUCUUCGUUCUCAGCGCCCAGCCCAGCUUCCUUCAAAAUGUAUACUAUUCACGAAAUCCUGUGCAAGCUCAGCUUGGAGGGUGAUCACUCCCUCCAAGUGCACUGGAUCAGUCAAAACCUCCACCAGCUUUGAUGCUGUGUGGGAUGCCUUGAACAUUGAAAGAACCAUCAAGACCGAAGGUGUGGAUGACGUCACCAUUGUCAACAUCUUGACCAACAGGAGGAAUGCUCAGAGACAGGAUAGUGCUUUUGCCUGGCAGAGAAGGACCAAAAAGGAACUUGCAUCAGCACUGAAGUCAGCCUUAUCUGGCCACCUGGAGAUGGUGAUAUGGGGCUUAUUGAACACACCUGCUCAGUAUGAUGAUGCUGAGCUAAAGCUUCCAUGAAGGGGCUGGGAACCGACGAGGACUCCCUUGUUGAGAUCAUCUGCUCAACAACCAACCAGGAGCUCCAGGAAAUUAACAGAGUUUACAAGGAAAUGUACAAAACUGAUCUGGAGAAGGACAUUAUUUUGGACAAUAUGGUGACUUCUGCAAGCUGAUGGUUGCCCUGGCAAAGGUUAGAAGAGCAGAGGAUGGCUCUGUCAUUGAUUAUGAACUGAUUGACCAAGAUGCCCGGGAUUUCUGUGACGCUGGAGUGAAGAGGAAAGGAACUGAUGUUCCCAAGUGGAUCAGUAUCAUGACCAAGCAGACCGUGUCCCACCUCCAGAAAUUAUUUGAUAGGUACAAGAGCUACAGCCCAUGAAGAGAGAGCGUCUAGAAAGAGGUUACAGGAGACCUGGAAAAUGCUUUCAUGAACCUGGUCCAGUGCAUUCAGAAUAAGCCCCUGUAUUUUGCUGAUUGAGUGUACUACUCCAUGAAGGGCAAGGGGAUUCGAGAUAAGGUCCUGAUCAGAAUCAUGGUCUCCCGCAGUGAAGUGGACAUGUUGAAAAUUAGGCCUGAAUUCAAGAGAAAGUAUGGCAAGUCCCUGUACUAUUACAUUCAGCAAGAUACUAAGGGCGACUACUCAGAAACCACUGCUGUACCUGUGCGAUGGAGAUGACUGA